RNAcentral lists this ribosomal RNA (450 nucleotides) under uncultured Acidobacteriota bacterium. RNAcentral's name for it is "bacterial SSU rRNA". It matches the Rfam family "Bacterial small subunit ribosomal RNA", at positions 156 to 638 of the family's 1533-position model. Lineage: Bacteria; Pseudomonadati; Acidobacteriota. The record is from RNAcentral.
ACCGGGGCUAAUACCGCAUAAUAUCGCGAGAUCAAAGUAGCAAUACGCUUGAGGAGGGGGUCGCGGCUGAUUAGCUAGUUGGUAGGGUAAUGGCCUACCAAGGCUGAGAUCGGUAUCCGGCCUGAGAGGGCGCACGGACACACUGGAACUGAAACACGGUCCAGACUCCUACGGGAGGCAGCAGUGGGGAAUUUUGCGCAAUGGGGGAAACCCUGACGCAGCAACGCCGCGUGGAGGAUGAAGUCCCUUGGGACGUAAACUCCUUUCGACCCGGAAGAUACUGACGGUACGGGUGGAAGAAGCACCGGCUAACUCUGUGCCAGCAGCCGCGGUAAUACAGAGGAUGCGAGCGUUGUUCGGAAUUAUUGGGCGUAAAGGGCGCGUAGGCGGUGCGGUAAGUCACCUGUGAAAUCUCCUGGCUCAACUGGGAGCUUGCAGGCGAAACUGCCG